Long non-coding RNA from Cylas formicarius (sweet potato weevil), 373 nucleotides. RefSeq lists it as uncharacterized. NCBI's taxonomy places the organism in Eukaryota, Metazoa, Arthropoda, Insecta, Coleoptera, Brentidae. The transcript has 2 exons. The record is from RefSeq and is a predicted model, not a curated record.
UUGAAACAGUUGAUACACCUAUCUAUAGGCUUGUCCGACAAUAUUCUGCGGUUUCAUUUUACUUAAAGUGCGAUGAGGUUUGAAUUGUUGCUGUUGUUAGUCAUUGCAUUGUUUUGCAACGAAGGGCGUUGCAGUAGUAACAAUGAGAUGGUAAAAUCGGAAAAAACUGAUGGUUCGACCGUGUCAGAGAAAACGUUCCAGCUUCAAAAUAUAAUCAACGCCCCAUGCAAGAGCGGUUACAUUUUAGUAAAUGGAAAAUGUGUUCAGGUCACUCCCUGAGGGUUUUCGGAAGCAAGGAGGUAUAGCGAACCACAUUCUAAAAACUUUUUAAUUAUGUAUAUUGUUUACAAUAAAUAAGUUCAAUUCAAAAAUG